AGAGAACAAACUACCAAUUAACGAGCGAGGAAACAGGGCCAGAGAAUUGGAACAAAAUACAAGGCUGCCUCUGAAAGGAAUAUCUUUGUGCUGAUGUGUCCAUCAAGAGAACAUACACAGAAGUGACACUUGCCAGUAAUUUGCAAGCAGAUGGAACUUCAAUAUGGCAAUAGAGAAAGAAUCAAUUAGACCAGAGUCUCCUCAGGAAGACUUUCUAUAGGUGGACGGUCCCCUGGAGAGCCCGCUGUGUUGGAAGAUGUAGAAUAUUCAUAUAUCUGGUGAGCAUCUGCUAGAUGCCAGGGUUGGGGAGAGUCAAGUUGAAGCAAGCAUGAACCCUCAAGGACCUACCAUUUCAAGGCAAGAAAUAGAUACAAAUACAGAAAAUAUUUACUGGAUAGCUACUAGACAUAAGGAUGCAGAAAUGAAUUAGAAAAAUUCCUCGCCCUUGUUCAAAGCUAUGCUGGCUCUUAGAACAUCUGAGCCCCCACUGUUUCAUCUUUAGAGGAUCCCAGCUGCUGGGGUGUGAGGCCAGUGCUGGAGCCAGCAGUCUCUGACCCAGAAGGGACCUGAGGUGCUAAAGAAAAUGUCACAGAUGGAGUCCAAAAACAAAAUAACGGCCUGCUCCAUUCUGAUUCAAGUUCUCAUUUGCCUGUGCCCUGCUUUCCCAAGAGCCUAGUGACUGAUUGCAGACCCUUGAUUUCUGUGAGCUUAGACUAAUAGGUAUUGCAGGCAUACAUUCUGGGCUGAAGAUAACCAGAAAGCCAGCAACCUGAUGGGAGGAACAUUCAUUGCACAAGCUGAGAGUGAAAUGAGCUUCUACAUCAGGAUAUUUAACACAGACACAGAGAGGACGGUGCCACUGGAAGUCAUGCAGCCGCAAGUCAAGAAAUGUCAUGAGUGGCUCCUCUCCAGAAACUAGGAGAGGAGCAUGGGGCAGGUUUUCUCCUAGUGCCUUCAGAGACACAUGGCCCUGCCGACACCUUGAGUUUGGAUUUUUGGCCUCCAGAACUGGGUACAAGCUGGAAAAGGGGAAAAUGAAUCAUGCUACAGGCCAAGUGUCCAUCACUGAUUCCCAGAGAUGCCCUUUGUGUGGUAGGCACUUCCAUGUGGACUCGCUACAGAGUUUGGAGUUCCUGAACAACAUGGACAGUGUUAAUUUGGAUUCCAUGCUUCAUGGCACAGAAUUGGAGCACUAACUACUCAGUGAUGACUUUCUCUUCCUCUAGCUAAGGUGAUCAACAAGUUUCCUUGUUCUUUCUCCAAGUAGUAGAAGAAAGUAAAGGUCAUAAGACCCUAAUUCCAGAGGGCCCUACCCUAUAACCAGAAGGAAGAACUAUUGCACAGAGAAUCUAAGAAGAAUCUAGACAGACAGCCCUUGCUGGAUUUCUCCACUCUGUUAGCAUUCGAUCAUUUGCCUUUUGUCCAGUCAUAUUUCUGCAUGGCUGUCCAUACUUUGUUGAACCUAAGCACAAAAUGGAAAGUUUUCCCUGUAUCUUUGGGUCGUCAU
Molecule: long non-coding RNA, 1507 nt
Filed under: Homo sapiens (human)
Lineage: Eukaryota; Metazoa; Chordata; Mammalia; Primates; Hominidae
Description: HSALNT0405878
Source: RNAcentral